GCGGAGGGAUCAUUACUGAGUUUACGCUCUACAACCCUUUGUGAACAUACCUAUAACUGUUGCUUCGGCGGGUAGGGUCUCCGCGACCCUCCCGGCCUCCCGCCUCCGGGCGGGUCGGCGCCCGCCGGAGGAUAACCAAACUCUGAUUUAACGACGUUUCUUCUGAGUGGUACAAGCAAAUAAUCAAAACUUUUAACAACGGAUCUCUUGGUUCUGGCAUCGAUGAAGAACGCAGCGAAAUGCGAUAAGUAAUGUGAAUUGCAGAAUUCAGUGAAUCAUCGAAUCUUUGAACGCACAUUGCGCCCGCCAGCAUUCUGGCGGGCAUGCCUGUUCGAGCGUCAUUUCAACCCUCAAGCUCUGCUUGGUGUUGGGGCCCUACAGCUGAUGUAGGCCCUCAAAGGUAGUGGCGGACCCUCUCGGAGCCUCCUUUGCGUAGUAACUUUACGUCUCGCACUGGGAUCCGGAGGGACUCUUGCCGUAAAACCCCCAAUUUUCCAAAGGUUGACCUCGGAUCAGGUAGGAAUACCCGCUGAACUUAAG
RNAcentral lists this ribosomal RNA (540 nucleotides) under Colletotrichum camelliae. Its description in RNAcentral is "eukaryotic LSU rRNA". The stretch from base 188 to 341 matches the Rfam family "5.8S ribosomal RNA". The record is from RNAcentral. Lineage: Eukaryota; Fungi; Ascomycota; Sordariomycetes; Glomerellales; Glomerellaceae.